GACGAACGCUGGCGGCGUGCCUAAUACAUGCAAGUCGAACGAACCGCGACUAGGUGCUUGCACUUGGUCAAGGUGAGUGGCGAACGGGUGAGUAACACGUGGGUAACCUACCUCAUAGUGGGGGAUAACAGUCGGAAACGACUGCUAAUACCGCAUAGGACAUAGGAUCACAUGAUCCAGUGAGGAAAGGUGGCGCAAGCUAUCGCUAAGAGAUGGACCCGCGGUGCAUUAGCUAGUUGGUAGGGUAAAGGCCUACCAAGGCGAUGAUGCAUAGCCGACCUAAGAGGGUGAUCGGCAACAUUGGGACUGAGACACGGCCCAAACUCCUACGGGAGGCAGCAGUAGGGAAUCUUCCGCAAUGGACGCAAGUCUGACGGAGCAACGCCGCGUGAGUGAAGAAGGUCUUCGGAUCGUAAAGCUCUGUUGUUAGAGAGAACAGCGCAUAGAGUAACUGUUAUGCGUGUGACGGUAUCUAACCAGAAAGCCACGGCUAACUACGUG
This 501-nucleotide ribosomal RNA is filed under the name uncultured bacterium. RNAcentral describes it as "partial 16S ribosomal RNA". It matches the Rfam family "Bacterial small subunit ribosomal RNA", at positions 28 to 507 of the family's 1533-position model. The record is from RNAcentral.